UACCAGCACCCCGAGUGGUCGGGACGUUUUAUUGGGCCUAAAGCAUCCGUAGCCGGUUCUACAAGUCUUCCGUUAAAUCCAACUGCUUAACAGGUGGGCUGCGGAAGAUACUAUAGAGCUAGGAGGCGGGAGAGGCAAGCGGUACUCGAUGGGUAGGGGUAAAAUCCGUUGAUCCAUUGAAGACCACCAGUGGCGAAGGCGGCUUGCCAGAAUGCGCUCGACGGUGAGGGAUGAAAGCUGGGGGAGCAAACCGG
This 254-nucleotide ribosomal RNA is filed under the name uncultured bacterium. RNAcentral describes it as "partial 16S ribosomal RNA". It matches the Rfam family "Archaeal small subunit ribosomal RNA", at positions 474 to 727 of the family's 1478-position model. The record is from RNAcentral.